CACGGGGGGAGCAAGCGUUGUUCGGAUUUACUGGGCGUAAAGGGCGCGUAGGCGGCCACCGCAAGUCGACUGUGAAAUCUCCGGGCUUAACCCGGAAAGGUCAGCCGAUACUGCGGGGCUAGAGUGCAGAAGGGGCAACUGGAAUUCUCGGUGUAGCGGUGAAAUGCGUAGAUAUCGAGAGGAACACCUGCGGCGAAGGCGGGUUGCUGGGCUGACACUGACGCUGAGGCGCGAAAGCUAGGGGAGCGAACGGG
Molecule: ribosomal RNA, 254 nt
Filed under: uncultured bacterium
Lineage: Bacteria
Description: partial 16S ribosomal RNA
Rfam family: Bacterial small subunit ribosomal RNA
Source: RNAcentral